CAUUGACGACGGGCGGAUUGGCCCACGUGAUGAUCCCAAGGUGCGCUCCAAGAUCCUCUCUGAGGAGUUUGGCUGGGACAAGGAUCUUGCAAAGAAGAUCUGGUGUUUUGGACCUGAGACCACUGGCCCCAACAUGGUGGUUGAUAUGUGUAAGGGAGUUCAGUAUCUGAAUGAAAUCAAGGACCCCGCCCCUUGGAGGAGGGAUUGGCUGAGGCCAUUGACGACGGUCGUAUUGGCCCACGUGAUGAUCCCAAGGUGCGCUCCAAGAUCCUCUCUGAGGAGUUUGGCUGGGACAAGGAUCUUGCAAAGAAGAUCUGGUGUUUUGGACCUGAGACCACUGGCCCCAACAUGGUGGUUGAUAUGUGUAAGGGAGUUCAGUAUCUGAAUGAAAUCAAGGACUCUGUUGUGGCUGGUUUCCAGUGGGCA
This 426-nucleotide long non-coding RNA is filed under the name Oryza brachyantha (malo sina). RNAcentral's name for it is "long non-coding RNA (OBRA_LNC000500)". The record is from RNAcentral. Lineage: Eukaryota; Viridiplantae; Streptophyta; Magnoliopsida; Poales; Poaceae.